GGUAGUUCUUGGGUGACACAAAUUCUGGAAUCGAGCUCCCUCCUCUCUAGUUCUGGGUGCAUCACCCAAGAACCUCA
Molecule: non-coding RNA, 77 nt
Organism: Myotis davidii
Lineage: Eukaryota; Metazoa; Chordata; Mammalia; Chiroptera; Vespertilionidae
Source: Rfam